RNAcentral lists this ribosomal RNA (3378 nucleotides) under Triticum aestivum (bread wheat). RNAcentral describes it as "partial small subunit ribosomal RNA". The record is from RNAcentral. Lineage: Eukaryota; Viridiplantae; Streptophyta; Magnoliopsida; Poales; Poaceae.
AUGUCGACCAUGAUAGUCAUGCAGUUUUUCGUGUUUGCCUUACUCUGUCUCCCGUGUUGGGCCAAUGUCGUGCAUCUACCCACCUUGUCAACUGCUCAAACUGCCACAACAAGCAGCGCCACUGACCACCAAGCGCUCAUGUCAUUGAGGUCUCUGUUUAAAGGAGAUCCAUUCCAAGCACUGACUUCAUGGGGAAACCAGUCGAUCCCGAUGUGCCAAUGGCGCGGAGUGGCCUGUGGCACGCGUGGCCACCGCCGCGGCCGUGUCGUCGCACUGGAUCUUCGUGGACUCAACCUUGUUGGCACCAUUGCCUCUUCCAUAGGUAAUCUAACUUACCUCAGGCAUUUUGGCCUCCAAGAGAACCACUUUUACGGUGCCAUACCAUCAGAGGUUGGACAUCUCGUACAACUUGAGUAUCUGAACCUCAGCAGGAACUCCAUCGGCGGCGACAUCCCGCCUACACUGGCCACUUGUGUUCAGCUUCAAGUCAUUGAUCUGAGGCACAACAUGCAUGAAGGUUCGGUGUCCCAGGAGUUGGCAUCCCUGCAUAAUCUUGAGGUACUGGCUCUUGGGUACAACAACCUUACAGGAAGUAUCCCUGUGGAGAUUGGAAACCUGAAAGCUCUGACCAGUCUUCUUCUGAACUCAAACAUGCUAGUAGGAGAAAUCCCAACACAAAUAGGAAAGCUUAGAAACUUGACCGAUUUAGAUCUUUACUUCAAUGGUUUGUCAGGUUCUAUUCCUGCCUCUCUUGGAGGCCUCCAGAAAUUACAAAUUUUGUAUCUAUCAGAAAACAAGCUCUCAGGGCCGAUUCCACCUUCCCUAGGAAACCUCUCAUCUCUAAAUGUUCUAGCUUUCGAAGAAAAUGGCCUAACUGGUAGCAUCCCUGAAUCGUUAGGAAAUAUGAAUCUCCUCAACGCCCUUUGUCUCACACUUAAUAGCCUUACAGGCUCAAUCCCUCCCACUCUUGGAAAACUCAGUUCGCUCGUUGGGUUGUAUCUGACUGGGAAUCAACUCGAGGGUACUAUACCACCUUCUCUCUACAAUCUUUCAUCCCUCCAAGUUUUAAGCGUGCAAAUUAACAACCUCAGUGGAUCUAUUUCAGAUGACCUGGGUAAUAAGUUUCCACAACUUCAGCUACUUGGCAUGAGCAGUAAUCAAUUUCAUGAGUCCAUCCCAGAGUCUUUGUGCAAUGCUUCAAUGCUUGAAAUGGUUCAAUUGGGUGCCAACUUUCUUACCGGAGUAAUACCAAAAUGUCUUGGAGCUACCAUGAAGAGCUUAUCGUUACUGCAUCUCUCAUUUGGUCAACUAGAGGCAAGGAAUGAUGCGGAUUGGGACUUCAUUUCUAGCUUGACAAACUGUAGUAUGCUGAAGAAGCUGAGUCUAGGCAAUAACAAACUAGAAGGGGUGCUGCCCUAUUCGAUAGCAAAUCUUUCCACAAAUUUAAGAUUUUUCAGCGUGUCGGACAACAUGCUACGGGGAAAUAUACCUGAAGGAAUUGGAAACCUUGUCAACUUGCAAGGGUUGCAGAUGAAUGGUAAUUUCCUAAAUGGAAAAAUUCCUGAAUCAAUUGGCAACCUUGGGAUCCUGGUUGAACUAUACUUGUACAACAACAGCUUAUCUGGACCAAUUCCACCAGUAUUUGGAAAUCUCACAUCACUAAAUAGACUCGUCCUCACCCAAAAUGUGCUUACUGGCUCCAUACCAUCCAGCCUUGGAAGUUGUCCUUUUGAGACACUAAGCCUACAAUUCAAUCAGCUUGUUGGUCCUAUACCAAAAGAGAUUUUCCUCAUAUCGACACUGUCUGUUUCCAUGGAGCUCCAAGGCAAUAAGUUAACUGGGACAAUUCCUUCAGAAGUUAGUAAUGUAGUGCAUCUUGGAUCUCUGGAUGUGUCUGACAACAGGAUAACUGGCUUAGUUCCUGCCUCUCUAGCUCAGUGUGGAAGUUUGCAGUAUCUCAGUAUGGAAGGAAACCUACUUCAGGGCACAAUUCCAGCAUCAAUAUCACAGAUGAAAGGCCUUCUAGUUCUUGAUGUUUCAAGAAACAACUUGUCCGGGGACAUCCCAAUCUUCCUUGGGGACAUGCAGGGGCUCGCUACCCUGAAUAUAUCAUUCAACAAUUUUGAGGGUGAAGUUCCAAAACGUGGAUUAUUUCUGAAUGCAAGUGCAGCUCUGAUCGAAGGGAACUAUGGCUUAUGUGGAGGUAUCCCCCAAUUUAACUUGCAUCCCUGCUUAAACCAUACAUCCAAGAAGUGGUCACACAAAAUUGUCGUGUUUAUCUCAGUAGGCAGCGCAGUUCUUUGCAUCAUCUUAGUACUAUUUGCAAUAUUUGCACGCCAGAAAUUGAGAAGCAAGUUUACUAAGACAGGACGGGUUCCAUCACUCCAUAGUGGACAACAUAUGAGAGUUACCUAUGCUGAAUUAGUGAGAGCAACAAGUGGUUUUGCUUCUGAGAACCUCUUAGGCGCAGGAAGCUUUGGGUCCGUGUACAAAGGAACAAUGAUGGAUGGACAUCAGGAAGUGGUUGUCGCUGUGAAGGUGCUCAACCUCGAGCAGCGAGGGGCAUCUCAAAGCUUUGUUGCAGAAUGUGAGACUUUAAGAUGCAUUAGACAUCGAAACCUUGUGAAGAUAUUGACCGUUUGUUCAAGUAUUGAUUUCAGAGGUCUAGACUUCAAAGCUCUAGUAUUUGAGUUCAUGCCGAAUGGAAAUCUUGAUCAAUGGCUACACGGCCGUCUCCUGGAAGAUGGGGGCCAUGGGGUGCUCAGUCUUACCCAAAGGAUAGACAUUGCCAUUGAUGUAGCUUCAGCACUCGAAUACCUUCACCACAAUAAGCCAGUACCAAUAGUUCAUUGUGAUCUUAAGCUAAGCAAUAUUCUCCUCGAUAAUGACAAGGUUGCCCAUGUCAGUGACUUUGGACUUGCAAGGUUCUUGCACCAGGAUGAUACUAGCCUCCCAGAGAUAUCAAGUGGUUGGGCUACAAGAAGGGGAACAAUUGGAUAUGCUGCUCCAGAGUACGGUCAAGGAAAUGAAGUCUCGGUCUAUGGUGAUACCUAUAGCUUCGGAAUACUGUUGUUAGAGUUGUUCACUGGUAAAAGGCCAACUGAUGGUGAGUUUCUGCAAGAUCUAAACCUACAUAGUUACGUCGACAUAGCACUGAGAGACCAAGCCAGCAACCUGGUCGAUCUGUGUUUAUUAUCUUCACUGGAGGAAGGGACAACCAUGAGAGCUGCAUGCAUCACUUCAGUUCUGCACAUUGGGAUAUUAUGCUCGAAGGAACUGCCAACUGAUCGCAUGCAGAUUGGGCAUGCUAUGAGAGAGCUACUGGCGAUCAGAGACAAGUAUCGCACACACCUAUUGAGUGAAGGUGGGUCCAUUUAA